Molecule: ribosomal RNA, 447 nt
Filed under: uncultured bacterium
Lineage: Bacteria
Description: partial 16S ribosomal RNA
Rfam family: Bacterial small subunit ribosomal RNA
Source: RNAcentral
GCCCAGACUCCUACGGGAGGCAGCAGUGGGGAAUAUUGCACAAUGGGGGAAACCCUGAUGCAGCGACGCCGCGUGAGCGAUGAAGUAUUUCGGUAUGUAAAGCUCUAUCAGCAGGGAAGAAGAUGACGGUACCUGACUAAGAAGCCCCGGCUAACUACGUGCCAGCAGCCGCGGUAAUACGUAGGGGGCAAGCGUUAUCCGGAUUUACUGGGUGUAAAGGGAGCGUAGACGGCGAUGCAAGCCAGAUGUGAAAGCCCGGGGCUCAACCCCGGGACUGCAUUUGGAACUGUGUGGCUGGAGUGUCGGAGAGGCAGGCGGAAUUCCUAGUGUAGCGGUGAAAUGCGUAGAUAUUAGGAGGAACACCAGUGGCGAAGGCGGCCUGCUGGACGAUGACUGACGUUGAGGCUCGAAAGCGUGGAGAGCAAACAGGAUUAGAUACCCGAGUAU